AUUGAACGCUGGCGGCGUGCUUAACACAUGAAAGUCGGACGAGUGGCGAACGGGUGAGUAACGCAUCGGAACGUACCGGGUAAUGGGGGAUAACUGCCCGAAAGGACAGCUAAUACCGCAUAUUAUCCGAGCGGCCGAGGUCGGAUUAGCUGGUUGGCGGGGUAAAGGCCCACCAAGGCGACGAUCAGUAGCGGGUCUGAGAGGAUGACCCGCCACACUGGGACUGAGACACGGCCCAGACUCCUACGGUAGGCAGCAUUGGGGAAUUUUGGACAAUGGGCGCAAGCCUGAUCCAGCCAUGCCGCGUGUCUGAAGAAGGCCUUCGGGUUGUAAAGGACUUUUGUCAGGGAAGCGGUACCUGAAGAAUAAGCACCGGCUAACUACGUGCCAGCCGCCGCGGUAAUAC
This 406-nucleotide ribosomal RNA is filed under the name uncultured bacterium. RNAcentral's name for it is "partial 16S ribosomal RNA". It matches the Rfam family "Bacterial small subunit ribosomal RNA", at positions 30 to 526 of the family's 1533-position model. The record is from RNAcentral.